CUGAUAUCUUUAUUAUUUUGCAGUCAAUGUCAUUGACGUCCUGCGGGUGAAUAAUUAUCUGUACAGGAAAGUCUCGUGGAUGCCAUGUGCUUUUGACUGCUCCAACGUUUAACUCAACGCACAGAGACACUGUGCGUGCAGAAGCUUCACCUUCUGGCUCAACAAAUAAUGGACGGCUCUUUCAGAUGGUGCCAUGGACACGUACACGUUUAGGUCCGUAUAUGUUUGGACAUUUAGCUGUUAAUCACAGCAUCAUCGAACACUUGGGUUGUUGAUCCAGUCAGAACUGCCUCACAAAUACUGGAGAGAUGGAAAAAACAAACUAAAUCUGCUCUCCAGAAGAAGAACCCUUUGGAUCGAUAAGAAAAUAUAUCUGAUGUUGCUGCAAAUGCUGCACACUUGAGUCCAGUGUUAACCCUAAAGUCCUGUUUAGCAUGUCUGCGCCCUGUUGGAGCAGUGUAACCAUGACAACCCAUUCUGAAGAUAAGCUUCAUGUUAUUUGUCUUUGUCUUUCAGGGUGCAACAACUUCAGCCAAAAUCAUAACAACAUCCAUACAGCCAAACGGUGCUGGUGUUCACCAAGUGUUCACCAGGUUCUCAACUGGUUUUCACCAGGUUCUCAGAUGGUUUUCACCAGGUGUUCAGCUGUUUGUUUGUUUUUUUUUUUUAUCAGAUUCUCAGCUGGUUUUCAUCAGGUUCUCAGAUGGUUUUCACCAGGUUCUCAGCUGGUUUUCACCAGAUGUUCAGCUGGUUUUCACCGGGUUUUUAGAUGGUUUUCACCAGGUUCUCAACUGGUGUUCACCAGGUUUUCAUCUGGUGUUCACAAGGUGUUAAGCUGGUUUUCACCAGGUUCUUGAACAGUUUUUACCAGGUUAUCAGCUGGUUUUCACCAGGUUCUUGGACAGUUUUCACCAGGUUAUCAGCUGGUUUUCACCAGGUUAUCAGCUGGGUUUCACCAGGUUCUUGAACAGUUUUCACCAGGUUAUCAGCUGGUUUUCACCAGGUUCUUGAACAGUUUUCACCAGGUUCUCAGAUGGUUUUCACCAGGUGUUCAGCUGUUUGUUUCUUUUUUUUUUUUUAUCAGAUUCUUAGCUGGUUUUCAUCAGGUUUUUAGACGGUUUUCAGCUGAUUUUCACCAGGUUCUCAGCUGGUUUUCACCAGAUGUACAGCUGGUUUUCACCGGGUUUUUAGAUGGUUUUCACCAGGUUCUCAGCUGGUGUUCACAAGGUGUUAAGCUGGUUUUCACCAGGUUCUUGAACAGUUUUCAUCAGGUAAUCAGCUGGUUUUCACCAGGUUAUCAGCUGGUUUUCACCAGGUUCUCAGCUGGUUUUGACCAGGUUCUCAGCUGGUUUUCACCAGGUUCUCAGAUGGUUUUCACCAGGUGUUCAACUGUUUCUUUGUUUUUUUUUUUAUCAGAUUCUCAGCUGGUUUUCAUCAGGUUUUUAGAUGGUUUUCAGCUGGUUUUCACCAGGUUCUCAGCUGUUUUCACCAGGUUCUCAGCUGGUUUUCACCAGGUUCUCAGCUGGUUUUAACCAGGUUCUCAGCUGGUUUUGACCAGGUUAUCAGCUGGUUUUGACCAGGUUCUUGGACAGUUUUCACCAGGUUAUCAGCUGGUUUCACCAGGUUUUUAGAUGGUUUUCACCAGGUUCUCAACUGGUGUUCACCAGGUUUUCAUCUGUUUUCACCAGGUUAUCAGCUGGUUUUCACCAGGUUAUCAGCUGGUUUUCACCAGGUUUUUAGAUGGUUUUCACCAGGUUCUCAGCUGGUGUUCACCAGGUUUUCAUCUGGUGUUCACAAGGUGUUAAGCUGGUUUUCACCAGGUUCUUGAACAGUUUUCACCAGGUUAUCAGCUGGUUUUGACCAGGUUAUCAACUGGUUUUGACCAGGUUCUUGGACAGUUUUCACCAGGUUAUCAGCUGGUUUUCACCAGGUUGUCACCAGGUUCUCGAAUGGUUUUCACCAGAUUUUUGGAUGGUUUUCACCAGGUUUUCAGCUGGUUUUCACCAGGUUGUUAGAUGAUUUUCACCAGGCUUUCAGCGGGUUUUCAGCAGGUGUUCACCUGGUUUUCAGUUCGUCCAAUGUUUUAGUCUUGGAACAGCUGCGAGGUAAACAUUUCUUGAACUGACCCGAGGACAGCCAGACCUGAUCCAAAAGCCAUCAAAUCCAAUAAGAGGGAAUACCAAUGGAUGUUGGAUCAGAUCUGCUUCACAUCCUGAGCCUGAUAAAUGCCAGCAGGGGGCCCUGUUUUCAAAUAGUUAUAAUGCAGCAGCUGCGGGCGGGGCAAACAUCAAACCAAAUGUGACAAAAAACAGCAAAUGUUUUCUGGGAUGUUGAUCCAGGCAAACGGAUUCUAAAACCCCCAUGAGGGGGCUUCUGGUCCAGAGUCUGGAAAAAAACUGUCAUGACAUUUAAAAAACAAACACGACCAAUCAAGAAGCGUGAAGGAGUUGUUUCUAAACAGGAAGUCAUUGGGUUUCACAGUGUUCAGCGACUUUAAGAGCCGUCAUUAGUCAUCUCCAUAAAAUAGAUUGGUAUUUCAACAUAUUGCUUCAUGCAGCGCGGU
This is a long non-coding RNA of Thalassophryne amazonica, 2563 nucleotides long. RefSeq lists it as uncharacterized. The record is from RefSeq and is a predicted model, not a curated record. The transcript is spliced from 2 exons. NCBI's taxonomy places the organism in Eukaryota, Metazoa, Chordata, Actinopteri, Batrachoidiformes, Batrachoididae.